This 77-nucleotide small nucleolar RNA is filed under the name Carlito syrichta (Philippine tarsier). Its description in RNAcentral is "Small nucleolar RNA SNORD93 (ENSTSYG00000023147.2)". It matches the Rfam family "Small nucleolar RNA SNORD93". Rfam says of the family: The members of this family belong to the C/D class of snoRNAs which contain the C (UGAUGA) and D (CUGA) box motifs. Most of the members of the box C/D family function in directing site-specific 2'-O-methylation of substrate RNAs. The human orthologue HBII-336 (SNORD93) is predicted to guide the 2'O-ribose methylation of 18S rRNA A576. The record is from Rfam by way of RNAcentral. Lineage: Eukaryota; Metazoa; Chordata; Mammalia; Primates; Tarsiidae.
UGGCCAAGGAUGAGAACUCUAAUCUGAUGGCAUAUGCUUCUUCUGCUAUGAUGGAUUAAAGGAUUUACCUGAGGCCA